RNAcentral lists this ribosomal RNA (468 nucleotides) under uncultured bacterium. RNAcentral describes it as "partial 16S ribosomal RNA". It matches the Rfam family "Bacterial small subunit ribosomal RNA", at positions 28 to 507 of the family's 1533-position model. The record is from RNAcentral.
GACGAACGCUGGCGGCGUGCUUAACACAUGCAAGUCGAACGGAAAGGCCCUGCUUUUGUGGGGUGCUCGAGUGGCAAACGGGUGAGUAACACGUGAGUAACCUGCCCUUGACUUUGGGAUAACUUCAGGAAACUGGGGCUAAUACCGGAUAGGAGCUCCUGCUGCAUGGUGGGGGUUGGAAAGUUUCGGCGGUUGGGGAUGGACUCGCGGCUUAUCAGCUUGUUGGUGGGGUAGUGGCUUACCAAGGCUUUGACGGGUAGCCGGCCUGAGAGGGUGACCGGCCACAUUGGGACUGAGAUACGGCCCAGACUCCUACGGGAGGCAGCAGUGGGGAAUAUUGCACAAUGGGCGGAAGCCUGAUGCAGCAACGCCGCGUGCGGGAUGACGGCCUUCGGGUUGUAAACCGCUUUCGCCUGAGACGAAGCGUGAGUGACGGUAAUGGGUAAAGAAGCACCGGCUAACUACGUG